AAGCCGUGUUCCUUGAGGCGACCUUCGUUCUCCUUCUCUCAUGGCUCGCCUUCUGCUUCUCGUCCGAUUUGGAAAGCUACGAGAUGGACGCACCGUAUGGCUUCAGAUCUGGCCGUGGAUUUGCCAAUCGGACACGUGCUUUGCCACCCUCCAUUGGCUUAUGGACCGAUUUCGGUUUGAUAUUCCGAGAAUCCUGGAUGUUCGGACGCCGAAGUAAGGUUUUCUACAAGAGAGAUGUGGUGUGGAGGGUACAUUAGUCAGAGUUUCCUGUUGAUGACGGAUGCGUUGGCGAGCAGUCUCCGUAAACGAUGGUUAGGGUUUCAGCUCCUGAGACAUCUAUGAAGAAGCAUGGUCGAGGCUGUGCUAAGGGCAUGAAGAAAUGGGGUAGUGGAGCCAAACUUUAGGUCAUGUUUGAUAAUGUCCGUGGUUUAUGACCUGACUUCUCUUUUAUUUUGUUGUACUUUGGUGCAGGUGUGUCUUGGACUUAACAAGAUCACUACGCAAGUAUGUUAGGCCGCUCGAGAUUGAGCAAAUGCUAAGCUUUGAGAUUGCACAAAGGCUCAAGGAAGUGAUUGAGCAGAGGCUCAUGAAACAGAUUGAGCGUAUGCUUAAUGGCUUAAUAAGAGGUUAAUGGCUCAUCUUGAGUGCAUGGGGGCUCAGACUGGACAGCUCUUAGUUUAAGCUUCUAAUGGGGUAUAGUGUACUAAAAUUAUCAGGUUUCUUCCUAAAUUAUGAUCAAGUCAUUACUCAAAAUAUCAAAUAUUGCAGGAUAAGUUUGACUUGUUAGGUGAUCCUAUUGAUGUUGAAAAUGCAGUAGCAAGGCAAUGUGGACGGAGGCUGAGCAAUCACAACUUCAUUGUGCACAAAAAAAAUACAAGAAACUUAGAGAAACGAGGGGGGGAAGAGUAUGCUAGAAACAACCCACCAGUGGACAAGCUUAAUAACUAAGAAGUGGGCUGUUCCAAUAUGACAGAGCAAGUGGAAGGAAAUGAAGUAGCAAACAAUAAGAUAGACGAGCUAGUAGAGGCAAAAGAGGAACAUGGGAGGACUUUGGAUAGUGUUUUGGCGUUUCUUAAACACCAAGGAUUUAUCGGUUAACGACUUGCUGGUUAGUACAUCAUGCUUUCUCUAUUUACAUUCAUCAUGAGAAAACUGGGCUGGAGUGGGCUAUAUAUUUUUGUUGGUUUGGUUUUCUGCCUUUUUUUGUGCCCUUUUUAAGCAUAUGUUUUCUAUUUAUAAAGAUUAUGAAAGUUUUUAUGUUCUCUGGUUUGAUGUUAACUAUCUCUACAUCCUAUAAGUCUGUCCAAAAUAGAUGGACAAACACAAAUAAUCAAUCAAGAAACAAAUAGUUUAUAUUGUAUUCCUCUUGCUUUGGUAUUGCUAUGUUGUUUGCUGCUGUGGUUUUCCUUCAAGAAACCCAAUGUUUGACACUGUCUAGCUUGGUUUAUGUUGUAGCUGAUAAUAAUGGAGUUUCUGGGCUAUUAUUGCUCUGGUUUUGGGCUCUUACUGCUCUGGUUUUGCUCUACUAUUACUGUCGUGGUAUAUCUUCAUCUAUAGAGAUUUGAUGUAGUUAUUGAUGCUAAUCAUGAGACUUUUCCAUCUGAUGUUGACAUGUGGUUUGGGGUCUGCUGAUCCGUUGUGUCCCAAAACAUGGGGGUUUCCACCUCUUUACGGCGGGGACACAACAUAUAUGGGGACACAACUCCUUAGGUGUAUAAAAUCUUGUAGCUUAACAUAACAAUCCUUUUAUUAUUCUACAUUCUGCUUUUAAAUACAGUAGGACUAUAAGUAUGGGCCUUAAUUUUUCAAACGCGCAUGGAUAAAGCUCCCACAAAUAUUUGCCAAUAAUAGCACAACUAUGCUUAGAAUCUGACUAUACCAUUGGAUCAAUUAAACAUGGUUGUUAGACAUACAGUUUACAGAUAGAAAGGCGACCAAGUUAU
Rhododendron vialii is the source of this 1943-nucleotide long non-coding RNA. RefSeq lists it as uncharacterized. The transcript is spliced from 5 exons. NCBI's taxonomy places the organism in Eukaryota, Viridiplantae, Streptophyta, Magnoliopsida, Ericales, Ericaceae. The record is from RefSeq and is a predicted model, not a curated record.